RNAcentral lists this ribosomal RNA (254 nucleotides) under uncultured bacterium. RNAcentral describes it as "partial 16S ribosomal RNA". It matches the Rfam family "Bacterial small subunit ribosomal RNA", at positions 524 to 776 of the family's 1533-position model. The record is from RNAcentral.
UACGAAGGGGGCUAGCGUUGCUCGGAAUCACUGGGCGUAAAGCGCACGUAGGCGGCUUUGUAAGUUAGAGGUGAAAGCCCGGGGGCUCAACUCCGGAAUUGCCUUUAAGACUGCAUCGCUAGAAUUGUGGAGAGGUAAGUGGAAUUCCGAGUGUAGAGGUGAAAUUCGUAGAUAUUCGGAAGAACACCAGUGGCGAAGGCGACUUACUGGACACAUAUUGACGCUGAGGUGCGAAAGCGUGGGGAGCAAACAGG